UGUUAGAGCCAUUGAAUUUGCAUUACGAAGGAUCUGCUGCCUUCUGAAGGUCCCAGCCUAGAGCAAGAGAUGCAGAGCUGGGGGUCCUGAAUUCUUCUUUGGAAUCUGCUAUGAAAACAUGAUGCCUGUGCUGUGGGUGUACUUUUAUCACUUGGCCUCUGUUUCCCACCCAUUCUCUAUUUGGUGCAUAAUUAGAUGUUCCAUUGCCUCUGAGAAGUUGCUUCCUUUUCUAAGUUAGGAACCUGUGAAGAGGCAAAGGAUUGUGAGGAGCCCUUUCAGCAGGGGGAUGGCUGCUGGUCAUGUAGAGGAAGAAUCUUCCAGACUAGCCAACUCAGCCCACAGUGGGAGCGUUGGAACUGGGUGAACAUCAAGGUCUCCUUCCAACCCAUUCUAUGAUUCUUUGGUUCUAUGAUAUAAGAAGACCUUGAGAUAUUAUGU
This is a long non-coding RNA of Tympanuchus pallidicinctus (lesser prairie-chicken), 438 nucleotides long. RefSeq lists it as uncharacterized. The record is from RefSeq and is a predicted model, not a curated record. NCBI's taxonomy places the organism in Eukaryota, Metazoa, Chordata, Aves, Galliformes, Phasianidae. The transcript is spliced from 3 exons.